This 460-nucleotide ribosomal RNA is filed under the name uncultured bacterium. RNAcentral describes it as "partial 16S ribosomal RNA". It matches the Rfam family "Bacterial small subunit ribosomal RNA", at positions 338 to 795 of the family's 1533-position model. The record is from RNAcentral.
CCUACGGGGGGCAGCAGUGAGGAAUAUUGGUCAAUGGACGAGAGUCUGAACCAGCCAAGUCGCGUGAAGGAUGACUGCCCUAUGGGUUGUAAACUUCUUUUAUAUGGGAAUAAACUGUUAAACGUGUGGGAUUUUGUCAGUACCAUAUGAAUAAGGAUCGGCUAACUCCGUGCCAGCAGCCGCGGUAAUACGGAGGAUCCGAGCGUUAGCCGGAUUUAUUGGGUUUAAAGGGAGCGUAGGUGGUUUGUUAAGUCAGUUGUGAAAGUUGGCGGCUCAACCGGAAAAUUGCAGUUGAAACUGGCAGGCUAGAGUACAGUAGAGGUAGGCGGAAUUCGUGGUGUAGCGGUGAAAUGCUUAGAUAUCACGAAGAACUCCGAUUGCGAAGGCAGCUCACUGGACUGCAACUGACACUGAGGCUCGAAAGUGUGGGGAGCAAACAGGAUUAGAUACCCUAGUAGUC